ACAUGCAAGUCGAGGGGCAGCAUCAUCAAAGCUUGCUUUGAUGGAUGGCGACCGGCGCACGGGUGAGUAACACGUAUCCAACCUGCCGACAACACUGGGAUAGCCUUUCGAAAGAAAGAUUAAUACCGGAUGGCAUAGUUUUCCCGCAUGGGAUGAUUAUUAAAGAAUUUCGGUUGUCGAUGGGGAUGCGUUCCAUUAGGCAGUUGGCGGGGUAACGGCCCACCAAACCAACGAUGGAUAGGGGUUCUGAGAGGAAGGUCCCCCACAUUGGAACUGAGACACGGUCCAAACUCCUACGGGAGGCAGCAGUGAGGAAUAUUGGUCAAUGGACGAGAGUCUGAACCAGCCAAGUAGCGUGAAGGAUGACUGCCCUAUGGGUUGUAAACUUCUUUUAUACGGGAAUAAAGUUAGCCACGUGUGGCUUUUUGUAUGUACCGUAUGAAUAAGGAUCGGCUAACUCCGUGCCAGCAGCCGCGGUAAUACGGAGGAUCCGAGCGUUAUCCGGAUUUAUUGGGUUUAAAGGGAGCGUAGGCGGGUUGUUAAGUCAGUUGUGAAAGUUUGCGGCUCAACCGUAAAAUUGCAGUUGAUACUGGCGACCUUGAGUGCAACAGAGGUAGGCGGAAUUCGUGGUGUAGCGGUGAAAUGCUUAGAUAUCACGAAGAACUCCGAUUGCGAAGGCAGCUUACUGGAUUGUAACUGACGCUGAUGCUCGAAAGUGUGGGUAUCAAACAGGAUUAGAUACCCUGGUAGUCCACACAGUAAACGAUGAAUACUCGCUGUUGGCGAUAUACAGUCAGCGGCCAAGCGAAAGCAUUAAGUAUUCCACCUGGGGAGUACGCCGGCAACGGUGAAACUCAAAGGAAUUGACGGGGGCCCGCACAAGCGGAGGAACAUGUGGUUUAAUUCGAUGAUACGCGAGGG
This 921-nucleotide ribosomal RNA is filed under the name uncultured bacterium. Its description in RNAcentral is "bacterial SSU rRNA". It matches the Rfam family "Bacterial small subunit ribosomal RNA", at positions 53 to 967 of the family's 1533-position model. The record is from RNAcentral.